GCCAGUGUGGCAUAGUGGUUUGAGUGUUGGACUACAACUCUAGAGACCAGGGUUCGAUUCACAGCUUAGCCA
Molecule: transfer RNA, 72 nt
Filed under: Phrynosoma platyrhinos (Desert horned lizard)
Lineage: Eukaryota; Metazoa; Chordata; Lepidosauria; Squamata; Phrynosomatidae
Description: tRNA-OTHER
Source: RNAcentral